Aegilops tauschii subsp. strangulata is the source of this 4678-nucleotide non-coding RNA. NCBI's taxonomy places the organism in Eukaryota, Viridiplantae, Streptophyta, Magnoliopsida, Poales, Poaceae. The record is from RefSeq and is a predicted model, not a curated record.
CACAGACUGGGCUGGCUGAUCCAGCCCAUCACCGGUGCUGUGGCCUUGCUCGGCUGUUCCAUCGAGAUCGAGCCAUCGAAUCGAAUGAACCAAACGCCGCCGCCGCCACAACUGACCUGACCUGGCCGCCCCGGCGACCCGCCUCCCGCCUCCACGACUGCCCCGGCCCACGCCUCCCCUUGCUCGUUGCUCCCCAGUACCCCUCACCCGUAGAGCCAUCCUCACUCUCGCACGGCCGCCGCCUGACCCCGAGCACGAGCGGUCUUCUGUCCGUACCACUGCCGCCGGCGAGCUCCGCUCGGUGACGUCCUGAGGACCUGAACACGACCCACGAACGCCGUCGGGCAUCGAGAUCGACACAGCUGCUCGAGAAUUUGAAGUACACCUUCUGCUUCUUUAUGCACUCCUGAAUGCUCGGGACCUACACUGCCUACACAGACUUGCAUUUGAGACGUAAAUUCGAUGAGAAGAUUAGCAGAACAUUUACCGUACAUUUCCAGAUCGAUUUCCUUGAUACAAUUCAAGGAAAUGUCCUCAUUCGCUGCCGGUCAUGGACGCCGUCCCAAGAAGAAGCUUUAUCACCGCGAGCCUGGACUCGACAAGGCCAUGGACCUCCAAAAGAAGCCCGCCCUCCUCCUCCGUCUCCGUGAGCUCAUCCUGGCCCAAAAGACAGGUUCACUACUUGUACGUGACCUGGAAAAGGAGGUUGGCUUUGUCCAAAAAUGGAACUUUGUUGCACUGAUUGAGCGCCACCCCAAUAUCUUCCGUGUCUCUGGUGGAAGUACAUCGCGUGAACCCAUUGCUGUCAUGCUUACUGAGAAGGCCAGAAAUAUUUCUGGUGAGGAGAUCCGAGCACAGGAGCUAAUGGAACCUAUCUUGGUAAGAAAUCUGAGGAAGCUGUUAAUGAUGUCCAUGGACUGCCAGAUCCCUUUAGAGAAGAUUGAGCUCAUCCAACCUGAAUUGGGUUUACCAAAGAACUUCAAGGACAAGUUGAUUCCAAGUUACCCUGAUUUUUUUUCAAUCCGUGAUGUGAGAGGAUUGGACCAUCUGUGUCUGGAGAGUUGGGAUUCUUCACUAGCAGUCACAGCACGAGAAGAACAAUUGAACUUUGAUGGUUUCCAAAUGGAGUACAGAGGGGUUCCUAAAGAUGGAAAUAUACUGGGUCCUUUUGCUUUCAAGUUAAAGUAUCCAGCUGGAUUUAGGCCCAACCGGAAGUACCUUGAGGAGGUAGUCAGGUGGCAGAAGAUGGCGUUUCCUUCACCUUAUUUGAAUGCUAGGCGAGUGGAGCCUGCAACUCCACAGGCUCGGAAGCGAUCUGUUGCUGUUCUACAUGAGGUCUUAAGCUUGAUAAUGCAGAAACGACUGACAUCUGACAAGCUAGAAGUCUUCCAUAACGAGUACAGGCUGCCAUGCAAGCUACUCCUUUGUUUGAUAAAAAAUCAUGGGAUCUUCUACAUCACUAACAAGGGUGCAAGAAGUACCGUCUUUCUCAAGGAGGCCUACGAUGAUAUUAAUCUCAUUGAGAAGUGUCCUCUGCUGAAAUUCCAUGAUCAGUUUUCCUCUUUAAUUGGACGGCCAUGCUUCGACUUGAAUACUCCACUGGCAGUAUAGCUCGAGUACUGAUUUACAUGAGAAGCAAAACCAUGAUGUGUUCGUCUGGUGCAUCUUCUUAGUUGAUUGCUUGAUGCUCACAUAUGAGCCCAUUUGCACACAACAAACUAUAUUGCCCCAUUUCUGUUAAGCGAGACCAGCACACGGGAUUAUAAUCCUCACUGGCAAUUGUUCAGCGGAUGGAACUCAUAGAGGGUCAACUAUAAGCGAAGAUGGCCUACCAGUUACUGUACGAUCUUUAUCUAGCAGGAACAGUUAUGCAGCAAGCUGGCAUGAAACCUUUCUUCUCUUGUUAAUAUGUCAGCACAAAUAUUGCAAUCCAGCGAUAACAGUCAGUCUGUGUGUGUUGUCAGAUUAUUCUGUAGCGAGUCUCUGGUACUGAUAUUGUUUCUGUGUGAUGUAGCUUUGUGUCAAAAUCAGUAGGCUGUGCACCAGUCAAAGCACAGGAACAAUGCAAUGGAGUGCUAUGAUGGAUUGAGCGAUGGCUGAACAAUGGCAUCCUCCAAAAGGCUGUAGGGUAGGUGCUUGUUUAGCUCUAGCAGCGAAAUCAGGGAAUCACUGCUUACCGUUGAUCUCGGACCGGAUUCUAAGCACGCAGAGCUUUGCCGGUUUGUUACGCCAAUCAAUAUAACCCUCAACAGGCUAUUCAUGGGCAGGUUUGGAUCCCUUUCAGGCUAAUCUUGAGUACCUGGUGAUAUAUUCCUGCAUUGAAGUGGUUGUCAACAUAGAAUGGUGCCUUGGUGGGGGGUGCAUAUAUACUUAUAACUCCAACACCAAGCACAGCUCUCAGUGGGAUCGAAUCAGACGGAACAUGUGCCAAGUAAAGAAGGACCGACAAAAUUGUGCACUGGUGUGGCGGCAUGGAGGUGAGAUGGGGGAGGCCAACUGGCCGCUGCUCAAUUAUAUAACCCCUGAAAGUGAAGAGCAUGAACAGGAGCGGUGAUUGGGGUCAGAUUCUGCAGACACUAAGGGGAGCACCUAUGAUGGUGGUCAGAUGCACUGAAAGCUAUAUUUGGAUGGGUGCUAGUGGCUUACCCAGAAAAAGUCAAGCAAAUACUACAACAGAUGGAGACCGAAGGCCCCCGACCCUUCUCUGAUUCUGUUUGUUUUUAUUCUCCUGAUUACCCCAUUUUUGUUAAGAGAGACCAACACUCAUGGGAUUAUAACCCUCACUCAACGCAUCUUUGUAAUGUUCACUGGAAAUUGUUCAGCGGUUGGAACUCACAUAUGGUCAACUAUAAGCGAAGAUGACCUACCAGUUACUGUAUGAUCUUUAUCCAGCAGGAACAGUUAUGCUGCAAGCUGUCAUGAAAACCUUUCUUCUCUUGUUAAUAUCUCAGUACAAAUAUAGCAAUCCAGCAAUCAGGGUCAGUCUUUGUAGCAUGGGUUUGAUGUUGCUAGAUUAUUCUGUAGCAGAGUCUCUGGUACUGGUACUGUUUCUGUGUAAUUCAGCUUUGUGUCAAAAUCAAUACGCUGCGCACCAGUCAAAGUACAGAGACAAUACAAUGGAGUGCUUUGAUGGAUCCAGCGACGGCUGAACAAUUGCAUCCUCCAAAAGGCAGUAGGUCAGUUGCUUGUUUAGCCCUAUCAGCGAAACUGGGAAAACACUGUUUACUGUUGAUCUCGGACCGGGUUCGGAGCACGCAAAGCUUUACCGAUUUGCUACGCCAAUCGAUACCCGCAACAGGCUAUUCAUGGGCUGGUUUGAAUCCCUUUUAGACUGUCUUGAGUAUGUUCUGAUAUUCCGGCAUUGAAGUGGUUGUCAAGUUCAACAUAGAAUGAUAUUCUUGGUGGGAGAUGCAUAUAUACUUAACUCCAACGCCAAACAUGGCUCUCAGUGGGAUCGAAUCAGAUGAGCACCUGCUAAGUAAAGACGGACCGACAAAGUUGUGCAUUGGUGUGGAAAUCAAUAUGCUGUGCACCAGUCAAAGUACAGAGACAAUACAAUGGAGUGCUUUGAUGGAUUGAGCGAGGGCUGAACAAUGCUAUCCUCUGAAAGCCUGUAGGUUUGGUGCUUGUUUAGCUCUGAAUAAAGACCGGCGAAAUAGGGGAAACACUGCUUACCGUCGAUCUCGGAUCGGAUUCUAGGCACGCAGAGCUUUGCUGGUUUGUUACGCCAAUCGUUAUAUACCCGCAACAGGCUAUUCAUGGGCAGGUUUGGAUCCCUUUCAGGCUAAUCUUGAGUACCUUGUGAUAUAUUCCUGCAUUGAAGUGGUUGUCAACAUAGAAUGAUGCCUUGGCGGGGUAUGCAUAUAUACUUAACUCCAACUCCAACGGCAAACACAGCCCUCAGUGGGAUCAAAUCAGACGAGCAUAUGCCAAGUAAACAAGGACCGACAAAAUUAUGCAUGGUGUGGACACAUGGAGGCCCAAUUAUAACCCCUGAAAGUGAAGAGCAUGAGCAGGAGCAGUGAUUGGGACCAGAUUCUGCAGACACUAAGGGAGCACCUAUGAUGGUGGUCAUGAGCCUGGUCAGAUGCACUGAAAGCUAGAUUUGGUUGGCAACUUUUCUGAUCAUGUUUCUUCUUCUUCUCCUGGAAAGCAGAAGCGAUUCCGUUGGCAAAUCAAAGUGGAGGCAAUGGGGACACUAGCUACAACGAUUGAUUGAUGGAUGCUGCCGCGUGGCCGUACGGUCUUCUUCGCAUCGAAAUGAUUGAUGAUGACAUGAUAACUACGAUAAUCUUGUAGCACAAGCUUUUUUGGGGGGGUAUAACCUUCAUUCCAUUGGGGCUACUUCAGAAUUCAUUUUCUCAAAGAAAAUAAAAUUACUUCAUAGUCACAGGGCAUUAAGACACUGUACACAAAAGAAAGAAAACACAUGGCACUGAGACAUUUUUGCUAUUGUGGAGAGCAAUACUGGUCACUGGUACUAGCUAGCCCACCAUCCCAUGUAUGUGCAUCUCAGUCAGCAAUGGAAAAUUAGAGGUGGUGGAUAGGGUGAGUGCCGUGGUGUUUGUUCAUGACCGUGCUCUCACAAAUCACAAUCACAAAGCAGGCUGAUCUGCUUCUGUCACAUUGAGCGCAUGGCUGAUAUAUAAAACUUUGGGAUAAUCCCUAGCUUUCUAUA